This 301-nucleotide unclassified non-coding RNA is filed under the name uncultured Diaporthe. RNAcentral's name for it is "partial contains 5.8S ribosomal RNA, internal transcribed spacer 2, and large subunit ribosomal RNA". The stretch from base 1 to 102 matches the Rfam family "5.8S ribosomal RNA", at positions 53 to 154 of the family's 154-position model. Lineage: Eukaryota; Fungi; Ascomycota; Sordariomycetes; Diaporthales; Diaporthaceae. The record is from RNAcentral.
AUGCGAUAAGUAAUGUGAAUUGCAGAAUUCAGUGAAUCAUCGAAUCUUUGAACGCACAUUGCGCCCUCUGGUAUUCCGGAGGGCAUGCCUGUUCGAGCGUCAUUUCAACCCUCAAGCCCAGCUUGGUGAUGGGGCACUGCCUGUGAAAGGGCAGGCCCUGAAAUCCAGUGGCGAGCUCGCCAGGACUCCGAGCGCAGUAGUUAAACCCUCGCUAUGGAAAGUUCUGGUGCGGCCCUGCCGUAAAACACCCAACUUCUGAAAAAUUGACCUCGGAUCAGGUAGGAAUACCCGCUGAACUUAA